RNAcentral lists this long non-coding RNA (391 nucleotides) under Salmo salar (Atlantic salmon). RNAcentral describes it as "lncRNA (ENSSSAG00000086239.1)". The record is from RNAcentral. Lineage: Eukaryota; Metazoa; Chordata; Actinopteri; Salmoniformes; Salmonidae.
UUCUCAGGCUUUGACGUUGGUGAGGCUGUGUGAGUGAGUUGUUCUUCCUCUUAGGUCCAGGAAUGGGGGCCUUCCCUGCUUUAGAUCUGACUACUCCUCCCCCAGCAACCAUUACAAAUCAGCCUUGUCCAGAAAGACAAGCAGCACCAUCAAUGUUAUUGGAGGACAAACUGGUACCAUCAGCCGGGUAGAGGAACGGAGACGUCACAAUAUAGAAGGAAAUAACAUCCAGGUGCUUUCCGAGCCGUCUGAUGCUGAGCAUUCUGCCACUAAGAUGCCCUCCUUCUUCCCCCCCCACCUCUUUUCCCGCCUCCACCCUACAAUGUUAACUACGCCCCUCCCAUUCCUCCACCAUGCUACCCUCCUGGAGCACCCUCUCCCUCUCUGAUCC